This 203-nucleotide long non-coding RNA is filed under the name Capsicum annuum. RNAcentral's name for it is "long non-coding RNA (CANN_LNC008770)". Lineage: Eukaryota; Viridiplantae; Streptophyta; Magnoliopsida; Solanales; Solanaceae. The record is from RNAcentral.
GUCCAAAAAGAAAUAAUAAUAGAUCUAGAAAUGCACAAUUAAUAGAGGAUGUGAAUGAGAAUUUGAUAAAUGUAGAUGAAUAUAUGUCAGAUAAUGAAAGUAUAUACUCUAUCGAAAGUAUGGAAGUUUUUGAAGAAGAAAAGGAUAAUUCUGAUUCUUCAGACUCUGGAGAAGACGAAUUUAUAAAUGAAAUAGGACUAGAA